This 2981-nucleotide long non-coding RNA is filed under the name Pongo abelii (Sumatran orangutan). RNAcentral describes it as "lincRNA". The record is from RNAcentral. Lineage: Eukaryota; Metazoa; Chordata; Mammalia; Primates; Hominidae.
CCUCCCGUUCGCGCUGCCAGCAGCUUCCGCCUGCUGCGGUCCUGGCAAGCACCUCGGGAUCUCAUUCCUUCACAGGGGCCCUAGCCGGUUAAAGCUGAUACAUUCCUGUGGGUCAACUAUGCAACUAACUCAGAUUUUGAGCAAACAAAGCUCUCAAGUUGGUGAUCCUCAGGAGUCUCUGCAUUAGUUGGACAGCUCUUCUGGAAUUAUCUUCUAAGUCAACUGUGGGUUGGGUAGGUGGCUCUGCUGAUUUUUUGCUGGACUUCCACAUUUGGGACCAGUUGGCUGUCAUCAGCUCUAGAAAGGGUGUGGCUGUUUUACAUUGGCUGUUUUCCUCACAUUCCUCAAGCAGGUACUGUAAUAAAGAACUGGAGAAAUAAAGUCAGAUGGGAAGUAGCCCCUGCUGUCAAGGAGCUUGCCAUCUAAUGGGGGAGACAGGCAAGUAAACCAAAGACUACACAGUGCAGUAUGGUAAGUGCCAUGAUUUUGAUAUGACAGGGCACAGUGGAAGACCUUCCAAAUCAAAGCAAGUAAGUAAGGGUUGACAAUGGUAAGUAUCAUAGUUGAAGUAUCCUUGAACAAGGUUUCAGGAAGAAGAAUAAGGGAAUUUCAUGCAGGGAAACAGCCAAAGCUCAGUGAGUCAAAAUAUCACAGCAUUCUUGGUAAGCCCAAUUUUUUUUUCUGUUUUGCUAUUUUGGUGGAGAGAAAGGAACACAUAAAGGAAUAACAUGAGAGAAAGCUAUUUGGGGAAGUGUAGUAGUUAAGGUUCUGGUUGCAAACAACAACUCCAGCUAGUUAAGUUGACUUUAGUGGAAGGAUACUGGGGUAUCUCAUGGAAUCUUGGGAACUGUUGAAUAACCAGGGAAACUCUGGGAAACUCACUGGUAGGAAUCCAUAAACUGUCCUCCUGGUGGGCUGUAAACAACUCACCCUCUAUGUAUCUCACAUCAAAAUUCCAGUUUCUUGGGAAAACAAGUCUGUUUGCCCAAUUUGGGUCAUAUUUCCACCUCCAUGUUACUCAGGCAUGAUUCAUCUGCAAGUUAUGUGUAUAGAUAUUUUGCUACUGUUCCACCCUUGUGCUGUGCUGGGGAGGGAGGUGUCACUGUGAGCUGUGUGGCUGCCUUAAGAGAUAUCUGUUGUAGCUUAUUACUUGGUUGCCUUUCCCCACAUGUACAAUGACAAAAAUGCCUUCAACCUAUUUGAUCCAGCCGUUCCAGUACAACUCCUAUACUUGCCAUCUUUCCAAGCCCAAAGGUACAUCCAGCUGAUGGAAGGAGCAUCUUGGUGUUAAUAUUCUUUUAGUCAUGGUCUCUGAAAGUAAAAUGUCUGUUCUUCUAAUUCUGGCACAAUCUUAUCUAGCUAUAGUUCCUCAUGGUCCUGCACUCCAUGGACUAAAUUGUAAGUAUAAUUACUACCAAUGUACUCUAUAAAUAACUUUUGGGGCCAGGGUGGCAAUAGUUGCUACAGAAAAAAAAAAAAAAAAAAAAAGGAAGGAGAAGAAAACAGUGAUAGUUCUUAUUUUAAAAGGAAAAAAAGAGGCAGGAGGCUCUCUUGAGGCCAGGAGUUUAAGACCAGCUUAGGCAGCAUUUCAAGACCCUGUCUCUACUAAAAAGUAAAAAAAAAAUUUAGUCAGGCAUGGUGGCAUGCACUUGUAGUUGUAGCUACUCAGGAGACUGAGGUGGGAGGAUUGAUUGAGCCCAGGAGUUCGAGGCUGCAGUGAGCAAUCAUCAUGCCAUUGCGCUCCAGCCUGGGCAUCAGAGCAAGACCUUGUCUUUUAGGAAAAAAAGGCGGGGAGGAGGAAUAGGUAAUUUUUCAGUGUUCAGACAUUCCAGCAAUAUAUGUGGACUACUCAUUCUCACUACAGUUUAUGAGUCCGUAGCUAGUAUGUAUGACUACCCAUCCAAGUUUCCCUGCUUACAGUUAAUAUUCCAACUGAUUGGGGGGCUUUGCCUAAUAGAGUGAUUUAAGCCUUCAUUUUUAGACAUCUAAGCCCUUGGUGAUCAUCAGCAUAAAAUGUGACAAAUUAAACAAAAGCAAGACAGCAGAUCAGAGAACAACUCUGAGGUGGAAUGAUUGAGAACCAAUGAAUAGUUGUUCAGUAAAUGGUUUAUAUUUUACAGAUGAUGAAACUGAAACACAAAAAAUUUAGAUUAGCUCUUAGGUGACAAAGCCAGGAUUGAAGCUCAUGCGGUCUGGCUCCAGAACAACUCUUCUUCAUAGUUACAUUAUACUGCCCCUGCAUUGUUGGUAUUGAAAAAUUUCCUUUUCAUCACUUGUAAAAGUCAACUCUCUAACUACUGCAUCUCACAGCUGAACAGAUAACUGAUACCGUGCUUCCAGAAGAUUUUUCUAACAGUGUUUGCAGGCUAUAAAAUAGUGCUUUCACUUAGAAAAGGCCAGACAUGGUGGUUCAUGCCUGUAAUCCCUAGCACUUUGAGAGGCCAAGGCACCAUGCCGGGAGAUAAGGAUCCAACAUAAGACAAACAGGGCUGAUGCUUUUGGAAAGCUCAUAUUCAAGCUGGGGAGACAAACAACAUACAAGUUGCUGUAGCUACCUUCUGCAUAUGGAUAUCCAGUUUUCCCAGCACCACUUAUUAAAGAGACUGUCUUUUCUGCAGUGUAUAUUCUUGGCACCAUUGUUGAAAAUGAAUUCAUUGUAGGUGUGUGGGUUUGUUUCUGGGUUCUCUAUUCUGUUCAACUUGUCUAUGUGUCUGUUUUUAUGCCAGUACCAUGUCAUUUUAGUUACCAGAGCUCUGCAGUAUAAUUUGAAACCAGGUCAUGUGAUUCCUCCAGUUUUGUGGUAUUAGGAUAGGUUUGGCUAUUCUGAGUCUUUUGUGGUUCCAUAUAAAUUUUAGAAUCUUUUUUUUCUAUUUCUGUGAAGAAUGUCAUUGGUAUUUUGAUAGGGAUUGCAUUGAAUCUGUAGAUUGCUUUGGGUAGUAUGGACAUUUUAACAAUAUUCAUUCUUCCAAUCCAUGAACAUG